GAUGAACGCUGGCGGCAGGCCUAAUACAUGCAAGUCGAGCGAACAGAUGAGAAGCUUGCUUCUCUGAUGUUAGCGGCGGACGGGUGAGUAACACGUGGGUAACCUACCUAUAAGACUGGGAUAACUCCGGGAAACCGGGGCUAAUACCGGAUAAUAUUUUGAACCGCAUGGUUCAAUAGUGAAAGACGGUUUCGGCUGUCACUUAUAGAUGGACCCGCGCCGUAUUAGCUAGUUGGUAAGGUAACGGCUUACCAAGGCGACGAUACGUAGCCGACCUGAGAGGGUGAUCGGCCACACUGGAACUGAGACACGGUCCAGACUCCUACGGGAGGCAGCAGUAGGGAAUCUUCCGCAAUGGGCGAAGGCCUGACGGAGCAACGCCGCGUGAGUGAUGAAGGUCUUCGGAUCGUAAAACUCUGUUGUUAGGGAAGAACAAAUUUGUUAGUAACUGAACAAGUCUUGACGGUACCUAACCAGAAAGCCACGGCUAACUACGUGCCAGCAGCCGCCGUAA
RNAcentral lists this ribosomal RNA (514 nucleotides) under uncultured bacterium. Its description in RNAcentral is "partial 16S ribosomal RNA". It matches the Rfam family "Bacterial small subunit ribosomal RNA", at positions 28 to 523 of the family's 1533-position model. The record is from RNAcentral.